Molecule: ribosomal RNA, 435 nt
Filed under: uncultured bacterium
Lineage: Bacteria
Description: partial 16S ribosomal RNA
Rfam family: Bacterial small subunit ribosomal RNA
Source: RNAcentral
AGCGAACGCUGGCGGCAGGCUUAACACAUGCAAGUCGAGCGGGCACCUUCGGGUGUCCGCGGCAGACGGGUGAGUAACACGUGGGAACGUACCCUUCGGUUCGGAAUAACGCUGGGAAACUAGCGCUAAUACCGGAUACGCCCUUAUGGGGAAAGGUUUACUGCCGAAGGAUCGACCCGCGUCUGAUUAGCUAGUUGGUGGGGUAACGGCCUACCAAGGCGACGAUCAGUAGCUGGUCUGAGAGGAUGAUCAGCCACACUGGGACUGAGACACGGCCCAGACUCCUACGGGAGGCAGCAGUGGGGAAUAUUGGACAAUGGGCGCAAGCCUGAUCCAGCCAUGCCGCGUGAGUGAUGAAGGCCUUAGGGUUGUAAAGCUCUUUUGUCCGGGACGAUAAUGACGGUACCGGAAGAAUAAGCCCCGGCUAACUUCGUG